This 492-nucleotide ribosomal RNA is filed under the name uncultured bacterium. Its description in RNAcentral is "partial 16S ribosomal RNA". It matches the Rfam family "Bacterial small subunit ribosomal RNA", at positions 29 to 507 of the family's 1533-position model. The record is from RNAcentral.
AGUGAACGCUGGCGGUAGGCCUAACACAUGCAAGUCGAACGGCAGCACAGUAAGAGCUUGCUCUUACGGGUGGCGAGUGGCGGACGGGUGAGGAAUAUAUCGGAAUCUACUUUUUCGUGGGGGAUAACGUAGGGAAACUUACUCUAAUACCGCAUACGACCUACGGGGGAAAGCAGGGGAUCUUCUGACCUUGCGCGAUUGAAUGAGCCGAUGUCGGAUUAGCUAGUUGGCGGGGUAAAGGCCCACCAAGUGGAGGAUCCGUGGCCGGUCUGAGAGGAUGGUCGGCCACCCUGGAACUGGGACACGGUCCAGGCUCCUACGGGAGGCCGCAGUCGCGAAUGUUGGGCAGUGGGCGCAAGCCUGGUCCAGCCAUACCGCGUGGGCGACGAAGGCCUUCGGGUUGUAAAGCCCUUUUGUUGGGAGAGAAAAGCAGCAGGUUAAUACCCAGCUGUUCUGACGGUACCCAAAGAAUAAGCACCGGCUAACUUCGUG